Molecule: non-coding RNA, 2679 nt
Organism: Phalacrocorax carbo (great cormorant)
Lineage: Eukaryota; Metazoa; Chordata; Aves; Suliformes; Phalacrocoracidae
Source: RefSeq, a predicted model, not a curated record
CUAUGGGCGCAGACCCUCGGCCUGCCCCGGGGCUCCGUGGUCCCCUGCCCCGGGGCUCCAGGGGAGAGAAGCGCCCUUUCCCCCGGCGCUGCCGCCGCCCGGCCGGGACGCUCCUCCCGGUCAGGCCCCGGUGCCGGCCCACAGCGAGCGUCGCCCCAGCGCGGCCGCCCAGCCGGUGCGGCCCAGGCCCGCCUGCCGCCCCCGCUUAGCCCGGCGGCGGGGCCCGGCCCGGCCCGGCCCGGCCCGGCGGCAGCAUGGAGCGGAGCGGGGGCCGGCGGCGGGAUCCUGGCGAGAGCGUCUCUGAACUAAGGGAAUGGAGACCAGUCCUUUACAGAAAGUGCACAGACAAACUCUGGUUGCUCCUCUUCUUUCUUUUCUGGGCUGGUUUGAUGUUUAUGACUGGCUAUGCUGUGAUGGCUGGUGCUGCAGAAAGACUUGUGCUUGGAUAUGACAGCUUCGGGAACAUAUGUGGUAGGAAGAACACUCCUGUAAAAGGGGCACCCCUUUCUGGACAGGACAUGACUAAUAAGAAGUAUGUGUUCUUUCUGAAUUCAUGCAGCCUGGAAAUGCAAAGCCUCAAAAUCAGUUCAGUUUCCUUGUGCGUGUCUAGUUGUCCACAAGAGCAACUCAACUCUUUGGAAGACCUCCAGAGUUUUGCAAGGAAUAAUGGUUCUUGUCUUUGCCUUUACAACCUGAGCAUUUCCAGUUACACGCUAAAUCCAAAGGCAGCUGAGCUGUGUCCCACACUGCCAGUUCCACCAAGUAAAUCUUUUCCAUUAUUUAAUCGAUGUGUUCCACAAAAUCCUGAAUGCUAUUCCAAAUAUGCAUCUGUUUUAAUAAGUAUGGUUAAUGAAAUGGAUGUUUUUCACCGAAUUCUGAGUGGAAUACUGGCAGGAAGAGAUACUGUGAUAGGACUGAGUGUCCUUGCACUAGCCUUCUCUUUUAUACUGGUUUUAGCCUUCAGAUUCAUUCGGACACUUCUGGUCCAUACUUUGGUUGCACUGGUGGUGUUCGGGUUGCUGUUUGUCUCAGGUGUUCUCUGGUGGCUCUAUUAUGACUACAGGAACGAUCCCAGCACUGAAUUGGAAACAGAAAAGGAAAAUGUAAAAUUUCUACUUGGAUAUGCUAUCUUCUCAACAAUAUUUACCGUUGUUCUGCUUUCCCUUAUACUUGUGCUAAGAAAGAGGCUUCAGUUCACUGUGCAGCUCUUUCAAAUUAUUGGUAAAAACAUUGGCAGAAUUCCUUUCCUCCUGUUCCAACCGAUCUGGACCUUUCUGAUUCUCAUUGUGUUCUGGGUAUUUUGGGUUGCUGUACUACUUAGCUUGGGAACUGCAGGUACUGCGCAGACUACUUCAGGAGGACAAGUAGAAUACAGACCUCUGUCUGGAAUUUGCUACAUGGCAUGGUAUCAUUUCAUUGGCCUUAUCUGGACUAGUGAAUUCAUUCUUGCCUGUCAGCAAAUGACAAUUGCUGGGGCAGUGGUUGCGUGUUACUUCAACAGAAAUAAAAACAGCCCACCACCUCACCCAGUCCUGUCUUCCAUAUCAGUUCUUUUUUGCUAUCAUCUAGGAACUGCUGUAAAAGGCUCCUUUCUAAUCACAUUUCUGAGAAUACCAAGGAUUGUUCUCUUGUACCUUCAUAAUAUCUUAAAACAAAAGGAGAGUGCAUGUGCAAAGUGCCUGUUCAAGUGCUGUUUCUGCUGGUUUUGGUGCCAGGAAAGUUGCUUAAGAUACUUUAACCAGCAUGCAUACACAACUACGGCCAUAAAUGGGACAAAUUUUUGUACUUCAGCAAAGGACGCUCUCUUUAUUUUGGCAAAGAAUUCUGCUAAACUUGAGUCCAUUAGCUGUUUUGGAGAUUUUAUCCUAUUUCUAGGAAAGGUGUUUGUUGUAUGUUUUACUGUUUUUGGAGGAUUGAUGGCAUUUAACUACCAUCGGGAGUUGCAAGCUUGGGUGGUUCCUCUGUUGCUGGUUGGAUAUUUUGCCUACCUGAUGUCUCAGAACUUUCUGUCUGUGUUUGAAGUGACAGCAGAUGCCAUGUUCCUUUGCUUUGCUGUCGAUAUGGAAACAAAUGAUGGAACUGCAGAGAAGCCAUACUUCAUGGAUCGGGAACUGCUGACCUUUAUGAGUCAGACUAACAAGUUAACAGAAGGGCAAAAACACAGAAGCCUGAGACCUUUCCCGGACAACGAGGUUGGGACAGAGCUCCAACCUAUGGAAACCCUGCACUGGUGCAAAAUGGAUGGAUCAAAUUUGUUCUCAUCCUUCUUCCCAUUCCCCAGUGUGCCCAGCAGAGGAGGAGAAAGAUAAUGGCGAGGGGGUGGGAGAUGAAUCCUAUUCAGAUAGUCCUUCACAUGCCUGCUGCAGCAAAGUCAGAAGAGCGCUAGGCUGCUUGAUUUCAUGCCGGAACUGCAGAAGUUCCAGAGCUACUUGAACGCGAAGUGCACCAGGAAGUAUGAAGUCAGACCAGCAACAGCAAAAACAGUCAUAGAAAAAAAGGUUGCCAAUACCCCAGGAGAAAGUACUAGUUCUCUAAAUCUCUGUUGUACCUUCUGCACUGGUAAAAUGACACACAGUCUGUUUGUAUGAAUAAUGUAUUUUGUGUGUCAGCACAUCUGAUUUUUAUUAACAUACUUGUUCUGAUGGUUUGAAAAGUUGUUAAUAAACUCCUUGUACAUUC